Long non-coding RNA from Achroia grisella, 486 nucleotides. RefSeq lists it as uncharacterized. The record is from RefSeq and is a predicted model, not a curated record. The transcript is spliced from 3 exons. NCBI's taxonomy places the organism in Eukaryota, Metazoa, Arthropoda, Insecta, Lepidoptera, Pyralidae.
UCAAGUACCUUACAUACCCAGUUUAAAAACAAUACGAAACAGCCACAUGUUUGUAUUAAUUUUCUACUAUUAAAUCAUACAUAGUAUAAAUUACUAAGAACUAUAUACUUUUAUACCAUGUCCUUAUAACUGUCGGUCAUCAAGUCGAUCAACAUGGUCUACCCUAGAAAUAGUCAACUUUUUAAUGAAAUUACUUUGAUGGGAACCGGACCACUCGGUUGUCUAAAUCCUUUUGUGCCACUGGAGCUGCUGCCAGGGGCGGUGCAAUGGCCUCUGGUGCCAUGACUUGAAGUUUUGGAGGACGAAAUCUGCGAGCACGCGUACUGGGCAUUGCAAGAAGUUUUCAGGUGAGCAAUGUAACCAUGACAUCAUAGUGUCCAUAUACAAGGCUCUAUCAAGUUUCAUACUAUAUGAAUUGGAUAGACUCCAAAAGAUAGAGUUUGGACGACUAAAUUCCAAGUUUAGUGAAGCCGAUCUAUAACUAAA